This is a long non-coding RNA of Drosophila montana, 680 nucleotides long. RefSeq lists it as uncharacterized. The record is from RefSeq and is a predicted model, not a curated record. Lineage: Eukaryota; Metazoa; Arthropoda; Insecta; Diptera; Drosophilidae. The transcript is spliced from 2 exons.
GGUUCGGGUAUUUUGUAGUUGAGCAUUCGCCUUGUGUGUUCACUGAUUAAUUUUGGCAUUAUUUGGUUAAGCUCGUUAAAACCAAAUUUAAAUACUCACCGGCAGUUUCGAGUGUAUUUAACUAGCAGGCAGUUUUACAACAAAUCAUUAACUAAUUAUAAAUAUUAUUAUUAUAAAAUGACAUACGCUGAUGUUGGGCCAAAAGUUGUCGAGUGGGUGUAUUAUGUCAAUAAAUUAAUGCUACGAUCUUAUGUAAAAUACAAUACAGACGACAGUGAUUUCUAAGUUCUUGGCAGUUCUAUACCUGAGCAUUAUAUCUACACACUACACACGAUCGUUCAGUAGUUCGGACUAUAUUGCUCUCGUGUCGAGCACAGACCCGGAUAGAAUGGAUUCUUGCCGGUUUCGCAGCGGGACGCGGCUCGCCCAACCUCAUAGACGGGCGCAUCCAAUGCGUAGAUGGAUGCGUAAUUACAGACCACAUUAUAGAUGUACACAUAGGGAUAAUCGGGACGUGUGAAACGCAAUAUGGAGCAGCCAAUGCGCGAGUUGCGGUCCACCACCAUUUCCGCAAAAUGACCAUAGUCCUCACUAAGGGAAUUGCAAAAGAAAUAUAAAUAUAUUUAAUUUAUAUUUCGAUUACUAGAAUAUUAUACUUACAAAUAUUGUGUGACACGAAA